Long non-coding RNA from Saccostrea cuccullata (small rock oyster), 418 nucleotides. RefSeq lists it as uncharacterized. Lineage: Eukaryota; Metazoa; Mollusca; Bivalvia; Ostreida; Ostreidae. The transcript has 3 exons. The record is from RefSeq and is a predicted model, not a curated record.
UUUAAUAAAGAGAAUAUGCUAAAUUUGAAUGACUUUUUAAUGAAUAAAGUAUUUGAAACAUUCUUCACAGUACAACAUAGCAAACAAAGACUUCACAACUUUCAUAAAUUUACUCCACAUAAUUCAUAAAUCCUUAGGCUAUCCAAAAACGGGUCAGUGGUUCAGUGAGUUUCGACAGAACGUGGUCCGACUACAAAACUGGGUUUGGUAACGCCAAUGACUCCUACUGGAUAGGAAAUGACGUAAUACAUCAACUUACCAAGGGAAGGAACUCCUCCCCCUACGUCUCCAUCACACUGACCAAAGGGACAAGGCUCUAUGAAUUAUACAACCAGUUCUCUGUUGCUGACGAAACCAACAAAUACUGACUUUCUCUUGGAGGACCAGCUACCGGGACACUUGGAGACAGCAUGAGAAG